Molecule: long non-coding RNA, 3223 nt
Filed under: Cricetulus griseus (Chinese hamster)
Lineage: Eukaryota; Metazoa; Chordata; Mammalia; Rodentia; Cricetidae
Description: lncRNA (ENSCGRG00015032185.1)
Source: RNAcentral
GAUAGAUAGCAUUGCAAAGUUGAUAAAUGUUCCGUGCUAUAUAUUCUCACAGAUACACACAGUAGAGGGAAUAUAAACAAGGCUAUGAAGCAUACAAAGAAGAGAUUCUCUUUCAUUUCCCAGACCCUUGCUGAAUUCUUUCACCCACAGGAUCUCAUUAAAGCCUCAGAAACACCUUGUAAUCUGGCCUCUGACUCUUUGGGUGUCAGUCUCAUGGAUGUGGACAGAUUUCUGUACCUUUCAACUAAAAGCAAGAUGUCUACUCUGAGUUUAUUUUUAAGGUAAGUGCCUGUUCUCAAAAGGUCAAAUGAAGAAUAACUACCUUUUAAUAAUUAUCCACUAUAGUUUGGGCUAAGUCUGUUAGACACAUUUCCUCAGAUGGAAGUCUUGAUGAUCUGGCGAAGCAAAUACUGUUAGUGUUCAAUUCUGUAGGUGAGAACAGGAACAUUGGGACACCAGAGAGAUUAAGCAAUGUACCCAUUGUCUAAGACUGAAAGUAGAGAGUAUUUUUUCACCAUAUUAGUGUUGUUGGGCUUCUUACUAUUGUCCCCAUGUUGCUGUGUCUCGGGAUGGCCCUCAGUAAAUAGCUGUCCCCUCCAAAUAAAGUCAGGCAGUGGUGCUAACCACUCACACUAUUGCAGAAAUCCAGGGUAAGACCACAAUCGUCAGGCAUCUUGAGGACAAAAAUAAAGGAAUGGUUGCCUCAGAAGGAUAGACAAGAACAGACUAAGGGUAUUUUCAGUGAGGGAGGGGCUCACUGGGAAAAGGGGAUUUUGCUAAGGGUAAGCUGCUCAUCUUUAAGGACAGCUUAUCUUCUUUUUAUCCUUGGCAUUUCUGUGGUUCAGAGCAGAGUGUAUGCCUCAGCUAAGUACUGUGUAGAUGUGGGAGGAGAAAUUCCCAGAAAGAAGCUGCAACUACAAAGUACUGACUGACUUAUUAGAACAUCAAUGAUGUAGAGAAGUUGGAAUGUUGUAGAUCCAGAAUCAUGGUAUCUUGAGUCAACUUUAGCCCACUCUGUUGCCCAAGCCUUUAUGAGACCGAACAUUCUUGCACCUGUCAGGUAAAUCCUUUUGGAAUGUAUGAACAGACCCUAGUUCCCACCAUCUGAAAGGCUAAGAGCAUCAUCAGACAGCAUCUGAGACGUACAGAAAAAUUGCCCUGCUAUGCUGCAACCCACCUCUCUGGUGUUUCCCCCAAUGUAUUUGAAAACUGUCUUGAUUUAUGAUAUUCUUGUUCUGUAACUACAUAAAGCUCAUAAAACUACUACCAUCUUAGAAUGUGGAGUAACAUAAAUCUGCAUUUUUUAGCCAUGGCCAGGGAAUUAUUUUUGUCCAGAAUAAAGUAGCUCUCAGUCCUGCUAAGGAAAGAGCUAGGUAUCCUGUUUCAACAAUGACGAUAGUAUGUUGGGGACAUUCUUUCAUUGCCUUCCCAGUCCCCCAUCCCCUGGACUAACAAUGACUUAGGCAUCUUGUAGGUUUGUCUACUUACCACAAAUUUUAUGCAUCUGUCAUAUAUAGCUAUUUCUUUGCUUUCAGGCUAGAAAAAAGGAACCCCUGAGCACAAGUCUUGUGCAUAGUGUGUGUCCAGUAUGUUUGGCUCAUGAACCAAGAAAGGAAAUAAAAAUCUUUGCCACUGUUCUUUGUAAUGUUAAAUCUUUCCACCAGAGCUGCUGGAGCCCUGCUGCCACCUGGGCGCUUUCCGCCAAGCUGCCUAUGAUGAGUCUUUAUUCCAUCCACUCGAGCCCUGCCACCAUGAGGGUGCCCAGAAUAACACACACAGAUUCUUAUGUUAGUUUACAAUGCUGCUUGGCCAAUGACUAGGAUUUCUUAUAUGCUAGCUCAGUCUUAAUUAUCAUGAAUCUAUAUAUCUUAUAAGACUUAUCUUAUCGAGGACACCUUCCACUGGCAUCCUCUUCCUGCGAUCACAUGGCAGCUCUGAAGAGAGGAGGAAGAGCAAGAGCAAGAGAGCAAUUUCCUGCUUAUAUUCUGAGUCUGCCUGCUAUUUCACUUCCUGCCUGGAUUGAAAGACUUAUAUUUACUACAUUUCCCAGAAUCCUCCUUGACUCCUAGUCCCACUUAACUUGCUUCUUCAUUGGCCAACAGUACUUUAUUCAACAACCAAUAAGAUAAACAUACACAGAAGGACUUGCCCCAUCAGUUCUUGUUUAAAAGGCAACUCCCUGAAGUCCUAGGAAACAACAUUAUAACUUAAACCAAUGGUUUGCCAUUAAUGAAUUAUUUCCUUAUAUUAACAGCAUUUAAAUGUAAAUGAUAUAAAAAUUCUCUAAUAUAUAUAAUGUUUCUAAAUAAUUUGCUUUUUUUUUCUUGUCAUGAAAAAUUCUCAAUCUGUUUAAGUAAUAUAAAUGUUUUAAUUGCUUUAAUAUUAAAAAUACCCACAAGUGUUUAUCUGGAGUUUUAUCUUCUUCUAUUUAACUUACAACAGUAUGUAGUAUGACUGUCUUAGUUAGGGUUCUAUUGCUGUGAAGAGGCACCAUGACCAUGGCAACUCUUAUACAGGAAACAUUUAAUAGGGCUGGCUUACAGUUUCAGAGGUUUAGUCUAUCAUCAUCAUGGCAGGACAUGGUGGCAUGCAAGCAGACAUAAUGCUGGAGAGAGAGCUGCUACAUGUUGACUUGAAGGCAACAGACAACAGUCUGUCUGUCACACUGAGCAAAACUUGAGCAAAAGAGACCUCAAAGCCUGCUCCCACAGUGACACACUUCUUCUACCAAGGCCACACCUACCCCAAUAAGGCCACACCUCCUAAUAGUACCACUCCCUAUGGGCCAAACACGUGAGUCUAUGGGAGCCAUUCUUAUUCAAAACACCACAAUACCUAUUAUCAAGACAAUCUUACUAUUUGGGUAUACUGGGGAAAAGCACUUGAGAAGCUUCAUUAACUCAAACAAGGAACUGAUGUCCUAUUUGGUAAAUUGCUGUUCAGUGUUCUAGUAGUGUGAUCCCAUUGGAACCAAAGUCUUGGCUGAGAUCUGGAAAUACCAGUAACCUGGUGUGUCUCUGAACAAGAUGAACCCACACUCAUCAGAUGGUUUUAUUCUGGAAGCAAAACUACUCCAUAGUUCUGUAUAAAGUGUGCUUUUGCAAUUCAUAAUUAGCUAUCACCACUCAUCCAUAAUAGACAAUGAAGUCACAUUCAUUUGCCCCCCCCACACCACUCUGUCUCUUCACUACUUCCCUCCACUCCUCUGAUCAAGAAUCAUUUU